UAGGGAAUCUUCCACAAUGGACGCAAGUCUGAUGGAGCAACGCCGCGUGAGUGAAGAAGGUUUUCGGAUCGUAAAGCUCUGUUGUUGGUGAAGAAGGAUAGAGGCAGUAACUGGUCUUUAUUUGACGGUAAUCAACCAGAAAGUCACGGCUAACUACGUGCCAGCAGCCGCGGUAAUACGUAGGUGGCAAGCGUUGUCCGGAUUUAUUGGGCGUAAAGCGAGCGCAGGCGGAAUGAUAAGUCUGAUGUGAAAGCCCACGGCUCAACCGUGGAACUGCAUCGGAAACUGUCAUUCUUGAGUGCAGAAGAGGAGAGUGGAAUUCCAUGUGUAGCGGUGGAAUGCGUAGAUAUAUGGAAGAACACCAGUGGCGAAUGCGGCUCUCUGGUCUGCAACUGACGCUGAGGCUCGAAAGCAUGGGUAGCGAACAGG
This 429-nucleotide ribosomal RNA is filed under the name bacterium. RNAcentral's name for it is "partial 16S ribosomal RNA". It matches the Rfam family "Bacterial small subunit ribosomal RNA", at positions 355 to 776 of the family's 1533-position model. The record is from RNAcentral.